RNAcentral lists this microRNA (17 nucleotides) under Corchorus olitorius. Its description in RNAcentral is "hsa-miR-12". The record is from RNAcentral. Lineage: Eukaryota; Viridiplantae; Streptophyta; Magnoliopsida; Malvales; Malvaceae.
UCAUUUUGUUUCUUUCU